RNAcentral lists this ribosomal RNA (549 nucleotides) under uncultured bacterium. RNAcentral's name for it is "bacterial SSU rRNA". It matches the Rfam family "Bacterial small subunit ribosomal RNA", at positions 355 to 896 of the family's 1533-position model. The record is from RNAcentral.
UAGGGAAUCUUCCACAAUGGGUGCAAACCUGAUGGAGCAAUGCCGCGUGAGUGAAGAAGGUCUUCGGAUCGUAAAGCUCUGUUGUUAGAGAAGAACACGUGCUAGGUAACUACUAGCGCCUUGACGGUAUCUAACCAGAAAGUCACGGCUAGCUACGUGCCAGCAGCCGCGGUAAUACGUAGGUGACAAGCGUUGUCCGGAUUUAUUGGGCGUAAAGGGAGCGCAGGCGGUCUGUUUAGUCUAAUGUGAAAGCCCACGGCUUAACCGUGGAACGGCAUUGGAAACUGACAGACUUGAAUGUAGAAGAGGAAAAUGGAAUUCCAAGUGUAGCGGUGGAAUGCGUAGAUAUUUGGAGGAACACCAGUGGCGAAGGCGAUUUUCUGGUCUAACAUUGACGCUGAGGCUCGAAAGCGUGGGGAGCGAACAGGAUUAGAUACCCUGGUAGUCCACGCCGUAAACGAUGAGUGCUAAGUGUUGGGGGCUUUCCGGCCCUCGGUGCUGGAGCUAACGUAUUAAGCACUCCGCCUGGGGAUUACGACCGCAAGGUUG